UGGGGAAUAUUGGACAAUGGGCGAAAGCCUGAUCCAGCCAUGCCGCGUGUGUGAAGAAGGUCUUCGGAUUGUAAAGCACUUUAAGUUGGGAGGAAGGGCAUUAACCUAAUACGUUAGUGUUUUGACGUUACCGACAGAAUAAGCACCGGCUAACUCUGUGCCAGCAGCCGCGGUAAUACAGAGGGUGCAAGCGUUAAUCGGAAUUACUGGGCGUAAAGCGCGCGUAGGUUGUUUGUUAAGUUGGAUGUGAAAGCCCCGGGCUCAACCUGGGAACUGCAUCCAAAACUGGCAAGCUAGAGUACGGUAGAGGGUGGUGGAAUUUCCUGUGUAGCGGUGAAAUGCGUAGAUAUAGGAAGGAACACCAGUGGCGAAGGCGACCACCUGGACUGAUACUGACACUGAGGUGCGAAAGCGUGGGGAGCAAACA
This 427-nucleotide ribosomal RNA is filed under the name uncultured bacterium. RNAcentral describes it as "partial 16S ribosomal RNA". It matches the Rfam family "Bacterial small subunit ribosomal RNA", at positions 355 to 774 of the family's 1533-position model. The record is from RNAcentral.